RNAcentral lists this long non-coding RNA (9249 nucleotides) under Eutrema salsugineum. RNAcentral's name for it is "long non-coding RNA (ESAL_LNC000528)". The record is from RNAcentral. Lineage: Eukaryota; Viridiplantae; Streptophyta; Magnoliopsida; Brassicales; Brassicaceae.
GUCGCAUUAAUUGACUUUUUUGGGCUCCAAAAGGCAAUUGGUCUCUAUUUUCCUCUAGAUUCUCAAUACGGUAAGCACACAUGACAAAACCAUCUCUCAAAAUUGAUAAUCUACCGAUUUCAUGGGAGAAUUCUUUUCGCCAUGGAUGCUCUGUUUCGUGAUUUUUUAUGCUGUCUGUAAUUUGAUCUAUAGCUGAAGCCAGCUCGUUGAUGGAUCAAAUGAUGGUUGAUAAACCAAUCUAAUCUCAAACUUCCAUCUAUUUGUUUGGAUUGAUACCAGAUUGUAAGUGUUGAGAUGCUCAGAAACAGAGUAUUUGUAGCUUGAUCUUUACAUAGUUUUCAUAUAAAGAGAUCGAUGUUUUAGAGAUAAUAUGAAUUCAAAAACUCAUACUUCAUUUCAUAAUGAUCAUCGUCUCUUAAAUUGUUUUCUCAUCGAUUUAUACAAAGAAAACACAACAAUUAUUCUCUAACAUUCACCUAACUUCAAAUAUUUCCACUAACCUUACUUAGACUCUAAACAACAUAGCUUAACAACACUUUCUGCUUUUACUGUUCUAACAAUUUCUUUGGAUUCCAACUGGUUCGGUUUAAAACUAAAAGGGCAUUACUCAACACUCUCACUUGCCAUUUUAUCAAUCAAACCGAGCUUGGUACGAAAUCUUUUAAAACUCUGGCCUCCCAAUGCUUUAGUGAAUAUAUCUGCCAGUUGUUCUUCACCCUUGCAGUAAUGCAGUUGAAUCUCCCCAUUUUUUUCAUAAUCUCUGACUACAUGAUAUUUGAUUUAGAUGUGCUUAGUCCUUCUAUGCUAAACAGGUUCUUUCCGAUUGCUAUUGCUGACUGGCUAUCGCAGUAAAUGGAUACCACCACUGGAGUGUGAACCCUUAGGUCUUCAAGUAGUCGUCUCAACCAAGUUGCUUGGUUUGAUGCUGCACACAGAGCCAUAUACUCUGCUUAUGCGGUUGAUUGAACGACAAUAUCUUGCUUGCUGGUUUGUCAUGUAAAAACAACUGAUCCAAUGCUAAAACAAUAGCCUGUUGUAGAUUUUAGAUUCUCUUUGCAUCCUCCCCAGUUACUAUCCGAAUGACCAAUCAGUUUAGAUUCCUUCACUGCGUUGAACAUUAGCCCUAUACCGAUUGUUCCUUUAAUAUAUCUCAGAACUCUUUUGGCAUCCUUGAGAUGAGAAAAUUUUGGUUCUUUCAAAUACCUGGAUAAGUAGGAAGCAGAAAACAUCAGAUCAGGUCGAGUAGCAGUUAGGUACAGCAAACCUCCUACUAAGCUUCUGUAGACACUGCCAUCGGCAAGAUCCUCUUCUUCAUCUGGAUUCUUAUGCUGAGUUAUAAGGGGUGUACUCAUGAUCUUUCAUUUCUCCAUAUUGAACUUCUUCUACAGUUUUCUCGCAUAACAUUCUUGAGACAGGAAUAUACCUUCUCGGCUUUGAACAAUUUCCAUUCCAAGGAAAUAGUUCAUAACCCCAAGUCUGACAUCUCAAACUCAUUCUUCAUUGCAGUCUUAAAGUCAUUCACCAUACUCUCAUCAUCUCCUGUGACAAUGAGAUCAUCUACAUAGAUACAAACAACCAGUAACUUCUCGUUGUCUUCUUUUGUGUACAAAGAAUGAUCAUUGUCACUUCUCCUGAAGUUUUCUCUCUUGAAAAACUCGUCAAUUCUGCUGUACUAAGCUCUCGGAGCUUGUUUUAAACCGUAGAGAGCCUUGUGCAACUACAGAACAUGUUCUUCCUUCUCUUUUCUUUCGAAUCCCAGAGGUUUUUCAGCAUAUAUCUCUUCAUCUAAUCUUUCAGUCAAAAAGGCAGACUUAACGACGAGUUGAAACCAUUUCCAUCUCUUUUGAGCCGCUACUGCAAAAAGCAGUCUGAUGGUUUCAUUUCUUGAAAAUGGAGCAAAAGUCUUGUGGUAAUCCACACCAUAUUGUUGAGUAAAACCUUUGGCGACUAGCCUCGCCUUGUGUUUCACCACAUUUCUUUUGGCAUCAGUCUUUAAUCUGUAUAUCCAUUUCACUCCCACAACGUUCUUGCCAGGUGGUCUUUCGACUAGUUCCCAGGUCUCAUUCUUUUUGAUCAUCUGUAUCUCUUCUUUCAUUGCCUCCUUCCAUUCCUUGUGUUUGAAUGCUUCUUCAAACAGAGAUGGUUCUUCUAAACUGCUGUAGCAUCCUUUCAUUACUGCAGAGUAUUCUAUGUCUGCGUAUGGAGCAGUAAGUAGAAUAUAUGAAAGUGAUCGAGUUCUUUUGUUCACUCGCCUUGAGCUUCCUCCUGGACUUCUGUAAUCGGUACUUGUGGAUGCAGGGCUUUCAUCUCAUGGUUCAUUAUAGUUGUUUGGUUCUGCUUCUCCAGUUUCAGAGACUUCUUCUUCAGUUUUGAUUUCAAGAGGUAUGUUUUGAUCCUUUACCACUUCUUUAUUUCCCCAGUCCCACUUUCUGUCUUCGUCGAAGAUGACAUCUCUAGAGAUGUCUAUCUUGUUUUCUUCCAGAAGAUACAUUUUGUACCUUUUUUUUGAGACCUGUAACCAACAAAUAUUCCUCUCUUAAACUUAUCAUCUCACUUUCUUCUUUUCUCGCUUGGGAUAUGGACAUAGUAGAGGCAUUCGAAUACUUUCAUAUGCCCUACUCCUGGUUUGGAACCAUUCCAUGCUUCAAGAGGAGUUUUUCUUUUUGGAGCUCUUGUUGGUGUUCUGUUUUGAACAUAAGCGGCAUUGUAGACCGUUUCUGCCCAAAAUUUUAAGGGUAAAACUUUUGCUUUAACCAUUGAUCUGCUCAAAGUUUAAUCCCUAAGCUACUCUGUAAGAGCACAUAUGUGCAGUUGUAGUAUGUAGGGGUCGAACCACAGAGACAAGAGAUCACUCAAUAAACUUUAUAGAGUUUGAGUUACGCUAAGAAGAAAUAUUGAAACUAAAUGGCAAUGCGACAGAAGUAAAUUAAGCAGCAAUAAAAAUGGUUUGUAAGUUCGAUUUGAUAAAGAUUAGGUCUAGGGCGUUUUUCAGGAGAUCAAUGAAUGCAUGUCAACUUAACUAAUCAGGAUUCAGUUUUAAGCACGGUUCUUGAACUCGAAACACAGAAUUAUAAUUAACCAACUUCCGUUGUGAGAAUUAUCUAAGUUAAAAUCUUAGAAUUCCAAAUUCCUUUGCAAAUCCUACAGAUUUAAACCAGCUUUAAUGCACAAGUUCGAUAUGUUCACAAAGCAUCUAAACCAAAUUCCUUUGCGAAUAGCUACUUUGCUCACCCUAGGUUCUUUCCAGUUAUUCAAUUACACUUCCGUGUCAAUUAAGCAACCUAAGAUCUAAGUUCUAGGUGAUCAAUCUAGAAUAAGCAUUAAGAACAACCUAAGAUGAAGAACUAAUAAAUAUGAACCCUAACUAGCAAGUUAAUCAAUCAUUCAAAGCAAACCCUAAUUAACCCUAAACCUAACAGGUGAUCUACUCAGACAUGAUUAUUGGAACAACAAACAUGAUGAAUAGAAGGCAAUAGAUUAAAUCAAAAUAGAUAAAGGGGUUCGAAAUCUUCUCUCUAAACGAACAGAGUUUCAGACUUGUCUCCCCAAGCUCUCAAAAAUCGCUAAAGCCGAAAACUCAGAGUAUCUUUCUCUCAAAAAUCUAAAGUAUCGAUAAUAAGGGAAUAAAAAUCCUAUAUAUAUUUCUAAAACACGUUUUGGGCUUCCUUGGAAACGUUUAGGCCCAACUCCUUCUUCAAAUAGGAAACAAAAUUCGUCUUUUCCUUAUUUCUUUGACAAGUGUCGAGCGUCACUCUCCAUGGUGUCGAGCGACACUAAAGCACGAAAUCCAUCCUUGACGAAUUUGAUCCUAGUUUAGCUCCAAAGUGCUCCAAAAUCUCCAGUUAAGCUCCAAGCGUACCUAAGACCUGUAAAGACUCCAAAAGACUCGAAAGACACCAAAAAAAAUUCUAUAAAUAAGACCUAUACCAUGGUUUAAAAUCAUAAAAACCAUGAUAUAUCAACUCCCCCAGACUUAGCAUUUGCUUGCCCUCAAGCAAACAGAAUACCAAAUAAAAGAAAGAGGUUUGAAAACACAGAGACUCAACUUUUCAUUGGAACAUCGCUUUUGACCGAUCACCCUGCAACUCAACUACUGCUUCAUCAUUCCAAAUCGAACCACCAUGUACUUCUCCGUAGACAUUCACAGCUUCCCAGAUUAAGUCCAAAAUUCCACAACAUUGUCCAUAAACCUUCAUCGCUGGGUCUCACUGAUGAUUCAGAUGCCAAGAACCUUCUAGACUCUUUCCCGUUCUAUACUCAAACAAAUCAGCCAUACACACUUUGGUACUUUUUCUCUCCCCCAGACUUAUUCUUUUCGCGCACUCAUCAUCUUUUUUUUUAUGGCAUAUACUCGAUAAGGGUAAAGCUGCGAGUACUGAUGGUGUUUGCCAUCAAGUCCCCGAGUUGUCCCCUUACCUUGUAUCAAAGCUUUUCAGCGAAUAGUGGGGUCAUAGGAAACUUUCCUACCCCUCACUUCCUUCCUUUGUGUGAUCAUUCCAACUUAGAAGUGAAAUAAUUGGAUCAUUGGAAACAUUCCUAACCCUUCACUCCUAAGCGAAAAUCAUCUCAAUCUUUUCACCCUUUUUCUUUCUUUCUUCACUUUUUAGCUUGUCACAGGGAGAGAAACACCAGCAUUAAAUUUCACACAGGCUUUCAUUUGUCAAGUAUGAACGAGGAAUCAAGCUCUAUGAACAUCAGUCACAUCAAUGAGUUAAAAGUGAAGUUCAGAACUUAGCUCAGGUUAGUGGAUUCUGUUGGAAACAUGGACGCCUCUAGUCAACUGGUCAGCCUUUGGAUUUUUCAUUAGUCGGAUCUAGACUGAAUCUGCAGCAGUGGUCACUUAGAUGAAAGGUCAGCAUAAUAAUUCCAGGAAAAGCAUCAUAAUCUCCAACAAGUUUUGACUCAAAAACUUUUUGACACGACUGACUCAUAAGAAAAACAGACACAAUGUCAGCAACUACCUCCCCCAGACUUGAACAACACUGUCCCCAGUGUUAUCUAGUCCGAAGUUGACGAAACAAGAGAAAAGAAACAGAGAAACACAGGAAAAACGGAGAACUUACCUGGCUGCAAUGAUGGUGUCGCGCGACACUUAUGAUGGUGUCGUGCGACACUUGUUCUCUUCGUACCAAAUAGCAGCAGACCAAUCUGAAUUUCUGGUUUGACUCCGGUUACCUGAUUUCCUUUUUUUUUUAUUGGCGCCGUUGCCGGGGAGUCAUGAGGAAGGAGUGAUGAUGAUUUCUGAACAGGUCAGUGCUGUGAUUCAGAAUAAGAUUCCAGAGAAACUCUCAGACCCAGGAAGCUUUGUUUUGGACUGCUCUAUCUUCUCAGAGAGGUUCAAGAGAUCGCUGUGUGAUCUUGGUUCAAGUGUUAACCUAAUGCCAUACUCUGUAGCUGUUAGCCUUGGGAUGACUGAUUUCAAGCCAACUAAGAUCUCUUUGAUCCUAGCAGAUCGAUCUAAAAGAAUCCCAAAAGGUGUCUUGGAGGAUGUUCCGAUUAAAGUUGGUGAUUGCAUAAUUCCUACAGAUUUCGUGGUUCUGGAAUAUGGAGAGAAACCCAAAGAUCCUCUUAUCCUGGGAAGAUCGUUUUUAGCUACAGCUGGAGCGGUAAUUGAUGUCAAGCAUGGUAACCUUGAUCUCCACUUGGGAGAUACCAUCAUGACUUUCAAGAUGGAGAAGCUGAAGGAUCCAACCAUAGAUGGUCAGACAUUCCAAGUCAGUGCAAUACCUGAAGUGAUAGUUGGAGAUCAGAACGUGUUUGAUGCUGAGAAGGUGAAAGAUCAACCUGAGUUGACUAAGACGUCUACAGAACCAGUAGCUGCUAUUGCACAGAAAGCUCACAACAUCAAGUUCCAUUCAUCUCCACCAAAGAAUAGGUCAAGGUCACCCAAACACAGAUCUCACCCUGGUGUUAUUCCUGCAUUCCUUGGACGACCUCAUUGAUAACUUAGAGUUUUCACUCUUUAUAGAGGUUAUCAAUACCCCUGUCCUUGUAGUACAAGGGGUUAUCAAUCCAAGCUUGUAGUGGAGACACUAUCUAUGUCAUUUGUUGACUUAAGUCAAGACAGAUCGAUGAAGGUUUUUACUAAGCUAAGUAACAAGCGAAUGAGCAUAAAAGUAAAGCAAAUGAUGAGAUUUAAACAAAGCUAAGAUGCAAAUGACAAAUAAACGAUUCGGAUGAUGACAAUGAAUGAUAAAGGCAGAAGCUUUAGACAGGAUAUUUGACUCGGGUGCUUCCAAGCUAAACUAAUGGGCUAAUGAAUCAUUUUAUCAAGCGAUUUCAUUUGACUAUGAACUCAAGGCAUGUUAAUCUUCUCAUGAAAGUAUUAAGCAUCUAAACUGAUCCUCUUUCAUACCAAAAUCCCUUUUGAGAAGCAUGAAUCAGUCAGCAAUAAGAUUCAGUUCAAAAAUGCCAUUUAAGAGAACAAACUAUCACUCUCGCGAUGAAAGACUCUUAAACCCUUAACCGAGUGGUUCAGACAUUUCUACAAACACUUUUGAUGCGAGAUAUGUCUAAGAUCUGAACCUCAAGUGAUGUGCUUGGAUCCAGCCUAGAGAUCUCGGCGGUUAAGGAAUGAAACAUGCAAGACUAGACACCUAAACCCAUUAAUCUAUCUUGAAAGCACCCUAAUCUACCUAUCUAAAGCCUCUUAAACGACUACUCACUGAUCAUAACGAGCUCACUAAGUCCUUUGCAAGACGUGUAGCUUGUCAUGAUAAGGAGUUUAAUACUGAAUGAUAAAAGAAAUAAAGAAAGAACAAGAUUUCUGAUGCAAAAACGAGAUAUCGGAUUAGAUUAAUCAACUUUCAUAAAAGAGGCAAGUUCUUAGAGCUAAAACAGAUAAGAGAUAAGAUGAUUAGGUUUUUGGUCCUAAAAUAUAUUUAUAGCAAAGGGAAAGUGCCGCGGGUCAGCCCGGAACAAACCAGAUACUGAGCCGCCUUCUUGGGUUGAUGGGUGAGUGCCACGGUGUGUCGGAGAGUGAAGCCGAGGUCUUCAUGUCGAGGAGUGCACGUGAGUUAGGAUCCAAAUGAAGAUCUCGUGAAGAACACGUCAAGAACAUGCAUGAACCCUAGUCUUUGAUCCAUCUUCACGUGUGUGUUCUUGAGCCGUCUUGUUCUUGAUUCUGGGUUUGUGACAAGGGGCCUCGGGAUAAAAUGCCGAGGAGCUUGGUAGUCGAGGGGUUUGGGAGAACAGAGUCCGGCAUGCACGCCGAGGUCAUUACACCGAGGUGCACGUUCAACACUUAGUCGUUUCCAGAUUCACUUCUUACGUGUGCAUGCCUUGAUCCCAACGUGCCGAGGCGCCAGCACGAGGUCUAGUCCAAAGUACCCCCAAGAUACGAGCCUUGAGCAAUGCCGAGGCAAUGAUGCCGCGGCCUGAGAAAAUACUUAGCGUGUAUCGCAACUCAUUUAGGCUCGUAUCGACCAUAUUGCCUUCCGGAGAUAGUAGCUUUCAACACACGACUCCAAUUGCUCUGAGGCCAGUUCCAUAGUCAAGAUGACUCAAUAAGCUCGAACUUUGGUGCAGAAAUCGUUGGAGCUUGGGAAGUGGAAGGCUUUCUGGAUUUCACAUCUUUGCACCGCAUUGGAUUCACCAGAAAAUGAGCUUUUGGACUGAUGUGAACUCCGGAGAGCUUAUCUUUCAAACCAUUGAUCCGAAUUGAGUGAUUCCAAGCGUUCUGAGAAGAGCUUUCACAGAUCUCAAACUUUGAUGAAGACCGGGCAAGCUAGUUCGGAUCGGAAAGGCUCCGUCCGUUGUAAUCUCUGAAAUCCGCUGUUCGGUUCUCGAGUACGUGUAAUGCUGGUGCUUCUUCCGGAAGCUGUAUCUUCCUCCUCACUGGUUCGAAUUGGAUGAUUCCAACUGUUCCGGGAUCUUUGCUUGAUUAUCUCCAACUUGGGUGAAGACCCCGCUAACUGAUUCGGACCGGAAGGUUCCCCGGAUUGCUGAUCUUUGAAACGCGCAGGCAAGGACAGGUUUUGGUCGAGAAAAGCUUCCCGCGGUAAGGAAAAUGACCGAGGGCUAUGUACCGCGGUAAGCUUUUUAGCCGUAAAAUUCUUCUCGCCUCGGCCAAAAACUUAACCCGUGGUAUUUUGCACCCGAUACUCGACCCAGGCUGAUUUUGGUCGAUCGGUAAGGGUUUUGGUCGGUAAUGAGCGUUCGGUAAGCUUUUUGACCGAGGUUUCUGUCCAGCCGGUACGUGUUUUGGCCGAGAAAUUCCUCCAGGCGUUUUUCAUCAUUUUUGACCCUUUUCUUCACCGUUUUCUUCUCUGAUCCUCUUCUUAAGCUCCAAAUGGCUCCCAAAGCACCUGAUAAAGACUUCAAAACAUGCAAAACUCCUUGGGACCUAAUGCAAGCCCUAAAUCCUAUUUUCAUGCCUAAAGACUCAAUUUACAUGGGAAAACACAUGAUGAGGACUCUAAAAUGCACUCUAAAUGAUGUAAAAUAUAAACAUAUCACUCCUGCGCACAACGCUUACACACCACCAUGGAUGAGACGACUUUCACAAAGGCAUUCUAUGCCAUUGUCUGAACCACCAGAUGGAUAAUCUAUCCAUAGUCAAGCUAAUGACUUAAAACAAGCGCUUGGUGGAAGGCAAUCCACUGGUAAGUCUGUACAUAAGUCUUUUUGUUUCAGCUGAUUUUCGUUUUUCGUUUUCGUGUUUUAGGUGAAGCAGAGCCUGGUGUCGAGCGACACCAGCAUCGGUGUCGCUUGUCACUUGUUUCUGUAAAAAAAAAAAAAUUGGAAAAUCAGGAAACCGGAGUAAAACCAGAAAUUCGGAUUGGUCUGCUGCAAUUUGGUACGAGAAGAACAAGUGUCGCACGACACCAUCAUAAGUGUCGCUCGACACCAUCAUUGCAACCAGGUAAGUUCUCUGUUUUUCCUGCGUUUCUCUGUUUCCUUUCUUUUGUUUCACCAACUUCGGACUAGAUAACACUGGGGACAGUGUUGUUUAAGUCUGGAGGAGGUAGUCACUAACAUUGUGUUUGUUUUUCUUAAGAGUCAGUUGUGUCAAAACGUUUUUGAGUCAAAACUUGUUGGAGAUUAUGAUGCUUUUCCUGGAAUUAUUGUGCUGACCUUUCAUCUAAGUAACCACUGCUGCAGAUUCAGUCUAGAUCCGACUCAUGAAAAAUUCAAAGGCUGACCAGUUGACUAGAGGCGUCCAUGUUUCCAGUGAAAGGUUGUUUUUGAGAGCUUUUGAGGAGACAAGUCUGAAACUCUGUUCGAGAGAGAGAAGAUUUUGAACCCCUA